GACCGAGCUUCUACAGUAAGCGGUUUCCUUUCAGCCUUUUACAAGAAUCAGACUUCGACUGAACUUCCAUAGCGGAUGGAUAUCGGGCGAACUUCUACGACGGAUGGACUCCGACAGCUAGAUUCCUACAACAACCAAUCGCCUCCGAUGUCUGCUGAACCUCCCCAACGCCAUCCGAAGUCCACCACCGGUCGACCCUCCACUAGAUCCUUCAUAAAAUCGGACUUCUCCAAUGG
Molecule: long non-coding RNA, 236 nt
Filed under: Elaeis guineensis (African oil palm)
Lineage: Eukaryota; Viridiplantae; Streptophyta; Magnoliopsida; Arecales; Arecaceae
Description: long non-coding RNA (EGUI_LNC040701)
Source: RNAcentral